GCGAUUUAUGCAAAAGAAGCCCAUUUUUCCACGCUGAUUUGCUUUUGUCCAACACAUCUGCGGAGUGUGUACGGUGGACAGGCCCUCGGGAGGUGAUCUUGUGAACACUUGCUGAGGAUCCUUGAUGCCGAGUGCAGGAUGUUUCCUACCAGUUUGAAGCCAUGUCUGAAGGGUUCCGAGGUGGAAUGUUCUGCGCUGGCCGAUGGCGGCGUCGGGGGGGGGGCACUGCACCGCAUGCCCAUGGUGACGAGGAAACAGCUGACGCAGGCAACAACGGCAUAGACCAACAUCUGAAGGAUGACAGAAGAAAGCUUCGACGGUGGUGUUUUUCGGUCAGACGCUGGCAGCGGUGGCGCAGCCGCUCAUCAUCUUCACGCCCACCAAGAUGGCGGCGUUGUGGUUCCCCGAUCACCAGCGAGCCACGGCCAACAUGAUGGCCUCCAUGGGGAAAAAAAGCUCCAUCCCCCUGGAAAAGAAGGAAAGAAGGGAAGAAUAAUGUGGAUUUAUUGAGGAGAAAGAGAAGUAAAUAUUUGGUGGCGUUUAAGAAGUGUUUGUGUUCCACCUGCAUGACAAGAUGAGGACUUUUUUUAAGGCAGCACUUCCAACAAGAAGAAGAUGAGGACAUGUUUGAGGCAGCACUUCCAACAAGAAGAAGAUGAAGACAUGUUUGAGGCAGCACUUCCAACAAGAAGAAGAUGAGGACAUGUUUGAGGCAGCACUUCCAACAAGAAGAAGAUGAGGACAUGUUUGAGGCAGCACUUCCAACAAGAAGAAGAUGAGGACAUGUUUGAGGCAGCACUUCCAACAAGAAGAAGAAGAUGAGGACAUGUUUGAGGCAGCACUUCCAACAAGAAGAAGAAGAUGAGGACAUGUUUGAGGCAGCACUUCCAACAAGAAGAAGAUGAGGACAUGUUUGAGGCAGCACUUCCAACAAGAAGAAGAUGAGGACAUGUUUGAGGCAGCACUUCCAACAAGAAGAAGAUGAAGACAUGUUUGAGGCAGCACUUCCAACAAGAAGAAGAUGAGGACAUGUUUGAGGCAGCACUUCCAACAAGAAGAAGAUGAGGACAUGUUUGAGGCAGCACUUCCAACAAGAAGAAGAUGAGGACAUGUUUGAGGCAGCACUUCCAACAAGAAGAAGAUGAGGACAUGUUUGAGGCAGCACUUCCAACAAGAAGAAGAAGAUGAGGACAUGUUUGAGGCAGCACUUCCAACAAGAAGAAGAAGAUGAGGACAUGUUUGAGGCAGCACUUCCAACAAGAAGAAGAUGAGGACAUGUUUGAGGCAGCACUUCCAACAAGAAGAAGAUGAGGACAUGUUUGAGGCAGCACUUCCAACAAGAAGAAGAUGAGGACAUGUUUGAGGCAGCACUUCCAACAAGAAGAAGAUGAGGACAUGUUUGAGGCAGCACUUCCAACAAGAAGAAGAUGAAGACAUGUUUGAGGCAGCACUUCCAACAAGAAGAAGAAGAUGAGGACAUGUUUGAGGCAGCACUUCCAACAAGAAGAAGAAGAUGAGGACAUGUUUGAGGCAGCACUUCCAACAAGAAGAAGGACUAGAAGUGACGUCAUACCUGAGGUGAGUGCAAACUGUGAAAGAGGUGACUUGUCUUAAAGCGACAGUACACCCGUUUAAAUGAGUGACAUGCAAUGAAAGAUGUCUCGGAGACAAGAAGAAGGACAACUAGUCUUAAAGGAAUAAUAUUCAUGGCUGAAAAACUGCAAAAGAAGAGACAAAAUAAUCUAAAUGUUGAAUAAAUCUG
Long non-coding RNA from Nerophis ophidion (straightnose pipefish), 1762 nucleotides. RefSeq lists it as uncharacterized. The record is from RefSeq and is a predicted model, not a curated record. Lineage: Eukaryota; Metazoa; Chordata; Actinopteri; Syngnathiformes; Syngnathidae. The transcript has 5 exons.